CCUACGGGAGGCAGCAGUGGGGAAUUUUGGACAAUGGGCGCAAGCCUGAUCCAGCCAUGCCGCGUGCGGGAAGAAGGCCUUCGGGUUGUAAACCGCUUUUGUCAGGGACGAAACGCUCUGGGUUAAUACCCUGGAGUAAUGACGGUACCUGAAGAAUAAGCACCGGCUAACUACGUGCCAGCAGCCGCGGUAAUACGUAGGGUGCGAGCGUUAAUCGGAAUUACUGGGCGUAAAGCGUGCGCAGGCGGUUGUGCAAGGCAGAUGUGAAAUCCCCGGGCUCAACCUGGGAACUGCAUUUGUGACUGCACGGCUUGAGUGCGGCAGAGGGGGAUGGAAUUCCGCGUGUAGCAGUGAAAUGCGUAGAUAUGCGGAGGAACACCGAUGGCGAAGGCAAUCCCCUGGGCCUGCACUGACGCUCAUGCACGAAAGCGUGGGGAGCAAACAGGAUUAGAUACCCUGGUAGUCCACGCCCUAAACGAUGUCAACUGGUUGUUGGACGGCUUGCUGUUCAGUAACGAAGCUAACGCGUGAAGUUGACCGCCUGGGGAGUACGGCCGCAAGGUUGAAACUUAAAGGAAUUGACGGCGNGAGAGAGCGAGACGACGACGAGGGAGAGG
RNAcentral lists this ribosomal RNA (617 nucleotides) under uncultured bacterium. Its description in RNAcentral is "bacterial SSU rRNA". It matches the Rfam family "Bacterial small subunit ribosomal RNA", at positions 338 to 950 of the family's 1533-position model. The record is from RNAcentral.